This is a long non-coding RNA of Triticum urartu, 560 nucleotides long. RefSeq lists it as uncharacterized. The record is from RefSeq and is a predicted model, not a curated record. Lineage: Eukaryota; Viridiplantae; Streptophyta; Magnoliopsida; Poales; Poaceae.
GUGCAACGCCAUGCACCAUAGGGGCGCUCGGACCGGCCACAAGCUAUGGGUCGAGCACCCUAUUCACCGACGGCGCACGCGCGCGCCAAGGCCGUGCCCGUGGGCGUGGCGAGCACCAGGAGCGGCGCGUCCGUUGAUGCCGUGGCCGCAUCCAGUGGCACGGUGACCACCACGGGCACCACGUCCAGUGGCGCGGUGACCAUAACGGCCAGUGGCGCAACGGCCUAAACGACGGAGGUAGCGACGACCGUCCUAACAAAUCAGGCGGAGAAAGAAGGAAGGCCAGGCAUCUCAACGGCGGAGUAAAAUGAAAUCAUGGUCCCCCCAAUCUCGGGCAUGUCAAUUUUCGCCAAUUGUCCAAAUACUUGGGUGCAACUUUCAUUGCAUGAUAAACCUCACGACAGGUCAAUUCCGCCAUUUCUGCAAAUACUUGGGUGUAAGAUCUAUUUUCCCCUACGUGCUUCAUUUAUGGAUGUCCAUCAAUUUCGCCAAUUGUCCAAAUACUUGGGUUCAACACAUAGUUUGUUGCAUACGAGUAAAAUGUAGUGUUCAAGAAAGCA